This is a non-coding RNA of Rattus norvegicus (Norway rat), 1027 nucleotides long. The record is from RefSeq and is a predicted model, not a curated record. Lineage: Eukaryota; Metazoa; Chordata; Mammalia; Rodentia; Muridae.
AUAAAAAGUUACAUCAUAAAAUUUGUAGGCAGAUGGGUAGAACUAGAAAAAAAACCAUCCUGAGUGACGUAACCCAGACUCAGAAAGGCAAACGGCAUACACUCAUUUAUAAGUGGGUAUUAGGUAUUAAGUAAAGAAUAAUCCACAGACCCAGAGAGGGUAAGUAACAAGGAAGACUCAAGGAGGAUGCGUGGAUCUUCCUGGGAUGGGGGAAAUCAAAUAGAUUUUGUGGGUGGACUGGGUGCAGGUGAGGAUGAGAACAGGAUCGAAAUUUAAGUUAUAAUAUUAGUUAUUUGAAAUUUUGAAACACCAUUAAUAAAAUUAAGGUCUCAUUCUUUGUCUUAUCUGCCAACAUCCAAGGUAUUGUCUUUCUGGAAACCCACUGGCCAGCUCUGCCAGAGAAUCAGCCUUUCUCCCUCACCGCAUAUCUGUAUCUCAUUUGCCAACACCUGAGGUAGUCCCUCCCUGGAAACCCACUGGACAUACUGGCCAGUGAUCGGGAACUAAAUGGUCAAAGGUGGGGUAGAAACCCCAGAUUGGGACUAAAGAUUUCAACAACAGGAUCCUAGCAUAACUGUUCUCUACGAAGUUCCACCCAACAGCCAAUAAAAGCAGAUGCAGAGACCUACAGCCAAACAUUAGAUGGAGCUCAGGAGUUUUGUGGAAGGAUUGAGGGACCUUAACAGGAUAGCAACUCUACAGGAAGAUCAACAGAGUCAACUAUCCUGGACCCUUCGGUGCUCCCAGUGACUGAACCAUCAACCAAAGAGCAUGGGCUGAACUUAAUGCCCUCUCCCAGCAUAGAUAGCAGAUGUGCAGCUUUGUCUUCAUCCUGGUACUUCAACAACUGAAGCGGAGGUUGUCCCUCAAUCUGAUACACACCUGUGGAUCCAGUUCUCCUAACUGGGUUGCCUUGUCUGAUCUCAGUGGGAGAAGAUGUGCCUAAUUCUGCAGUGACUUGAUUUGCCAGGGUAGGGUGACAACAUGGGGAGAGGGCUGCCCCCCUCCUCAGAGGAGAAGGGGAAGG